GACGAACCGAGCAAACGUUAUUCGGAAUCACUGGGCUUAAAGGGCGCGUAGGCGGGCAUCCAAGUCUGUGGUGAAAUCCGGCAGCUUAACUGUCGAACUGCCGUGGAUACUGGGUGUCUCGAGGGAGGUAGGGGCGUGCGGAACUAUUGGUGGAGCGGUGAAAUGCGUUGAUAUCAAUAGGAACUCCGGUGGCGAAGGCAGCACGCUGGACCUCUUCUGACGCUGAGGCGCGAAAGCCAGGGGAGCAAACGGG
RNAcentral lists this ribosomal RNA (253 nucleotides) under uncultured bacterium. Its description in RNAcentral is "partial 16S ribosomal RNA". It matches the Rfam family "Bacterial small subunit ribosomal RNA", at positions 524 to 776 of the family's 1533-position model. The record is from RNAcentral.